GCAAAUCUCUGUUCAGGUGUAGGCAUGGGCCGGUAUGAGAUUGUGACGGUAUGAUAACCUUCAGCAAAAAUACCACGGUUUCACGGUAUUGCAAUUAUAGCUCUAAAAUGUAUUAUUUUGAAAUGUUCGGGUAAAAAA
This is a long non-coding RNA of Sander lucioperca (pikeperch), 138 nucleotides long. RefSeq lists it as uncharacterized. NCBI's taxonomy places the organism in Eukaryota, Metazoa, Chordata, Actinopteri, Perciformes, Percidae. The record is from RefSeq and is a predicted model, not a curated record. The transcript is spliced from 4 exons.